This 363-nucleotide ribosomal RNA is filed under the name cf. Cystosporogenes sp. HEM-2006F. RNAcentral describes it as "bacterial SSU rRNA". It matches the Rfam family "Microsporidia small subunit ribosomal RNA", at positions 51 to 420 of the family's 1311-position model. Lineage: Eukaryota; Fungi; Microsporidia; Glugeidae. The record is from RNAcentral.
UGCAUGUUUAUGUAAUAAGGACCAAUAGCUCAGUAGAACUGCGAUUAUUUAGUCUGUCUGUAUAGGAUAACUACGUGAAAAUGUAGCUAAGAGGGGACAGAAUAAGACGUAGGACUAUCAGUUAGUUGGUAGUGUAAUGGACUACCAAGACGAUGACGGUUAACGGGGAAUUAGGGUUUUAUACCGGAGAGGGAGCCUGAGAGAUUGCUCCCACGUCCAUGGACGGCAGCAGGCGCGAAAAUUGCCCACUCUUUGCAGGAGGCAGUUAUGAGACGUGAAGAGGAAUGUUUGGUAAAGAGAAACAGGAGAAUUGGAGGGCAAGCUUUGGUGCCCGCUGCCGCGGUCAUACCAGACUCCUUCGUG